RNAcentral lists this transfer RNA (66 nucleotides) under Amblyomma tholloni. RNAcentral's name for it is "tRNA-Val". The record is from RNAcentral. Lineage: Eukaryota; Metazoa; Arthropoda; Arachnida; Ixodida; Ixodidae.
AAAAAUGAAAUCAAUUUAAGAUGUUUCAUUUACAAUGAAAAUUUUGUAGUAGAAUUACCAUUUUUU